AUCCCAGCUACUUCGGAGCCUGAGAUGGGAGAAUUGCUUGAACAUGGAGGUUACAAAAAAAAAAAAUCGUCAAAACUCAGGGUUUUGGCCACUGCCCACAUUCUACCCAUUCAUUCAUCCCCGUUCAAACCAGAGACUGUCUGAUGAAGCACACCCUCUUUGAGGGUGCAAACUGGAAACAGUCUCAGCUGCUGAUCCGACAGUCGCAUGCGUCAUUUAGAAGUCCAUGGGAAUGGACUGUGUUCUGCGGCACCUGCCCAUAAUCAAGCUCUGGACGGAGCCUGACUGUGUCUCAUGCAGAGCUUGUCGCUGCAGGCCAGGCUUGUGGUUCUUGGGGAAAGUCGAUCUGUUUACCUCGCGGUUGGGGACGCCCCUGACCAUUCCCGGCAGAACGAGUGCAUUGGACUUCUGACCCACUUCUGGAGGUUUCAAUCAUGUCUCACCACUGUCGCCACCGUCAGCGUCACGCCAGCUGACUCCAGCCACACCACCUGUCCCUUGAAACUCAUUCUUGCCAGCUUUUAGACUUUUGGGACCAUUUUCACUCUGACAUACUGAGACUUUAAUCACCAAAUCUACUGAAAAUGGGCCAACUGUCUGAUUUUACUUCCUUGUUUCCCCUCUUAAUCCAUCAAUGUUGUUUAGGUAAUUUGUUGACUGAAUGUGGCUGUCUCCAAAAGAAACAAUCUCUUCUUGACAGCCUCCAGGAUCACAUGAAAUCACUGGGGGCUAUGAAUCUAUUUCCAAAGUGUGAGAUUUCUCCCUCUGACCAUUGUGGGCACAAUAUGUCAUUCUUUCUCUGAACAGCAGCCCCAGCCCAGUCUACUUUGCCCACGAUGAGUGGCAGCCCAGCUAAAAGCGAGUUUAUGGGACUCGAAGUCAGUUACAGUUAAGGUUUAUACAAAAAUCUUUAUCCCCGUUUCACCUUGCUCUUAGGGACAAGUGUCUUGGAGACAGUAGGGGAUGAUGAGAAUAAAAGUGAAAUUCUAGGUACCGGAAUGGGACUGACUGACUCUGUGGAGGGAGAGGGAGAGUGACAACCUGAAACCUGGAGAGCAAUCAGCUUAGGUCCUACGAGCUCUGAAGAAUGGAGGGACAUUCAUUGCCUUUUGUCUCCCGUAAUCACCUCCAUGAGUCCCGGAAAGAGUCUCGCUGGAAAUCAUGUAGCACCAGGACUGUGUUAGUUACAGUUAAGCCAGAUGGCAGGGCAGGUGCUGGGGGUUCCUGUGCGUUUGGUCUCCACAUCACCCAGAAGAGUCCUUUGGGACUGUUCCCUCCUUCUGGGAUGUAGACGUGGGAUUCACACAGUGAGGAGUGUGCUCUUUCGGUGCCCACCUGUCCUCCUUGCUCUGUGAGCUGCGUUUCCUCCUGUUUUUGUCCCACAUAGAGACGAAUGUACGUUUAUUCCUAUUUGGAUAAAUCAGAGAAACAAAUCAAGUAAAGGAACUGUAGACCCAGCCCCCAGCAUAGCCUGAUUCUUUUCUGUUCCUUUUCCCAGUGAACUAAUUUCAUUAUGUCGGUGCAGAGAGAUUCCCUGAGAUGGGGUCUCUCAGAACAGAUGGCAACACCAUACAUCUUGAGAAGGUGGUUGGAGACGGCAGGAGUCCUAGCGAGAAUCAAAACUUGUGCCUGAUGUAUUACAGGUGUAUCUACAGGAGGUAGAUGGAUCCAGGAAAGAUCCUAGAGCCCUGGAAGAGACUAUUUAGAGCGGGCAGGAUCCCUGCAGGAGAGCAGAUAGCAGGACACAGGUUCAGCAGCCACUUUGGAAGUCAGACGCUCACAGCUAAGCCUCUGUGGUAGGGCUGAUCUGCAGAGCAAUGCAGAGCCUGGGAAAGCUCUGAUCACACGUGGAAGAUGAAACUCUGGGCUUCUAUUGGUCCAUUUUCCCACUGCUACAAAGAACUACCUGGGAUACAAAUAUAGAUAUUAAUUUUUGCUAUACUUUAUAAUAUACAAACACAUAUGGAUGAUUACACCCUAAUAUUUGUUGCGAUUCUACAGAAAUGCGUGACUCUCAGGAGACAUCCAAAAGACAGCAAAUAUCUCACAUGAAACUGAAUAGUAAUGUUCAUCCUCAAUGAAACACAGAGUUCACCAUUCUGAGUAUAUUGUUCAAGUUAUUUUCCUAUUUUCCUUCCCCAGAAUCUAACAUGUGUUAACACCAUGUGUCUAAAUCGUCCCUGUUGGGCAUCUGGAGCAAUCUGAGAAAGGGCAGGUCUUUGUUGUGACUCUCAGAGCAGCACCUACUGCUGGACACAGCGGGACACCCCAUCUCAAGCCCAGUCUCAUCCACCGACACGGUCCGUUAUCUCCUGUCCGGGGAAGAGGCGGGCCUGUCUCCGUCCUGGGAGGAGCUCUGGGCUUCUCCUUCAUCCAGAGAUGUGCCCCAGGGACCAGCCAGUGGGGCUGGGAGGAGCCCCCCUCAGCAGAGAAGACACAGGUGCCUGGGUGGCCGAGGCCUGGAAGGUGUGCACCAUGGUGCACGGAGGCCCCGGAGCUGGGUGAGCCCAGAAAGCUGCCCUGGGGUCCGCGGGGACUGUGCCUGCUGAAUCUGCACCUGAGCCACAUCUUCACAAAUGGCCUCAGACCUAGAGUGCAGGGAGAUCCCCGGGCUUUUCUGAAGUGGUGGCCGGUGGUCCCCUGGGGAGCAGGACCUGGGCUGCUUACUGCCCUCACCCAGUGAGGGCCCGCGGGGAGCUCUUAAGGCGGGAAUCAUGGGUCUGCCUGAUGUGACUGCUGUGCCCACAUCAGAGGGUUUUUCUUUCUUUUCCAAAGUCAAGCUGCACUAAUCCAGACCAGGGAUCCCACCCCUGGGCUGCGGACCGGUCCCUGUGGGUAGCCUGUUGGGAACUGGACCGCACAGCCAGAGGUGAGCAGUGGGUGAGAGCGCCUGACCACCUGAGCUCGCCUCCUGUGAGAUCAGCAGCGCCACUGCAUCCCAGAGGAGUGGGAACCCUACUGUGCACGGCGCAUGCGAGGCAUCUGGGUGGCAUCCUCUUUAUGAGAAUCGAUGAUCUCAGGCGGAACAGGUUAAUCCUGAAACCAUUCCCCUGUCUGUGAAAAAACUGCCCUCCACGAAACCAGUCCCUGGUGCCAAAAACGCUGGGAACCGCUGAUCUAGACAGUUCUCUGCUAAGGAAGCACGUGGUUGAGAAACAUCAGACUCGUUCCCACGGACCCUGCUCUGGAGUCUCAGCAGGCGCCUGGAGCGUCUUCAUCCGUGCAUCAUGAAGGACACUCACAUGGUGACGUGCCUUGGCUCAUGUGAGUAACACUGCAGCAAGCGUGGGGGUGCAGAUAUCUCUUGAAACACUCAUUUCCUUCAGAUACACACUCAGAGGUGGGAUUGCUGGAUUGUAUGGCCAUUUUGAUUUUUUAAAUUAAAAAGAAUUUUAAUUCUCA
Non-coding RNA from Macaca mulatta (Rhesus monkey), 3402 nucleotides. The record is from RefSeq and is a predicted model, not a curated record. NCBI's taxonomy places the organism in Eukaryota, Metazoa, Chordata, Mammalia, Primates, Cercopithecidae.